UCGCCUGUCAAAAACGUGUUCUGGCUCCGUUUUGGACAAUGAUAUCUAGCCCUCAGAUACAAUAGAUAGAUAGAACUAAAGCCGAGGAGCCCUCAUUGGUGCCUGCAACUAUAUUUUGACAUUUGUGUUGUCAGUUCGGAUCUCUCUAACCACCAUUGUUUUCUAAUGUAUUUCAGCUCUGACUAUCAGUCAGUAACUUUUCUUUUGACAAAUUGUUCUUUCCACAAAUCAAAGGAAAUUCAGAAUGAUUUCUUGAUCAGGUCAAUUAUGAAUUCCUGAAGAACAUAUAAUAGUAGAUAUUUUGUUGAAAUAUUAUUUGUUUAAUCUUUCCAAGCUGUGAAUAAUGUCAUCAGGCUAUUGUUGGUGUCUUGUGAGAAAAGGAAUUGUUAGCAUAUAUAUAUAUAUAUAUAUACAUGUAUAAUCACUGGUAAUUGUUUUAUGUUUCAAUGUCUUCUUCACAAUGGCAUUCUUAAUGUCAGUGUUUUUCCAAAUUCUUCAUAGUUUUUAGAUAAUAAUUCUGAAAAAAUAUAUGUCAUGUAAUGUCAUUUAUAUAUUGUGCGAUGCGAUGAAGCUAUAUAUAAAUGUUGAUAGAUAUAUUUUUUAGGUUUAGCUUCAGAACUCAUGAGGAGGAUAGGAAGCUAGCUCCUGUUCAGAAAAGAAAAAUAGUACGCUUUUAAAUUGAUAUGCGGACAAAUUUAAGGGGAGCUAUUUAUGUGUAUAGACCCAGAUAAAUGAAGUCGGUGUAUAUGAUAGGCUUACUGGUUUUUCACAUCUUCCAACAGGAAUCUACCAGGGUCUGUUGUCCUAUCCUAGAGGUUCUCAGUAAUAAUUGUCCUGAAAGUUGUUCCAGAAUAACCUUAGUUGUAAAACCCAAAAAAAAUGUAGAUGACCUGUUAAAACAAAAGAAAUUGUGGUUCUUCACCCAAAGGCAGAAAUAGCCGGUCGUUAAGAAACAAGCAGGACCUCCCGUCAACGUAAACAGGAACUGGAUGGUCUCUUUGCCACUUGCAAUGUUUUUGUGUGGGAUUCUUUCAGUUUCCAUGUAUUGGGAUCAUGUAGUCAGGCUGCCAAACUGAAUUAUCUGGUGCAGACUGUUGUCAUCUGGUUGGAAUAUUGCAAUAACCAUUCAGCAGCAAACAAGCAGUUACAAUUUGGUUUCUGGCUUUUAAAGAACCUUUCGAAAACUUCCGAAACGUAUUUUCCCCAAUUUUGCAAAUACAUUUGUCUUCCUAAAGCUUCUAUUGGAUACGUUUAUAUCUUAAAGUUUAUAUAUCUGGCACUGAAAUCCUAUUUCAUGUCAGUCAUUAUAUGGUGCGGGGCUGGUUUAAACCCAUAUAUGGCAAACUUGUAAAAUUAAAAUAUUUUCUGUUUUUUUUCCACUGCCUGAUUCCAUAUUUACAGUCAAGUAUUCACAUUUUACAAAUAUUGCAUUUUACAUUUUGAUUAUAUGAAACAAACACAAGAAUGUUUCUUUAAUGGAUAGACAUCCAUGUUGGUGCUGUUGAGGUUCAGUAAUGAAGAAGAAUGAUGUAAGAAGAGUACAAAUGUUUUAUAUCCGAUGAAAAUACAAACUUAUUCCUUAAGGCUUGAGGCAUACCCCAGCUCUUAAUAUUGUCUAUAUAAGUGCUGACUGUAACUGACAGUACCAUUGUAUACAUGUUGUCAAUAUUUGUCAUACACCAACUGGUUCUCACCAGCAAACACCAUUGAUCAAUGCAUCAGCACCUAAACACCUUCAAACACCAACAACAACAUAACAUACUCAUUUUCUUGGAAAGUGAUGCUGUUCAUUUUCUUCUCAGAGUCAAGUCAAUUAUAUGUUUUUAUUGACUUGAAGUGUAAGUCCCUUGAACAACAAAUUUAUUGGGAUAUAAACUAUAUAUAGAAUGUAUCUUAUAUAGCAGUGAACUCUUAAACUGCUUCAUUUGUGCUGUUCAUAGUAUGCUGUUCACUGUGUGCUGUUCAUAGUUUGCUGUUCAGUGAGCUGCUGACUGUGCUGUUCAUAAUAUGUUGUUCACUGUGUGCUGUUCAUAGUAUGCUGUGAGCUGUGUGCUGUUCAUAGUAUGCUGUGAGCUGUUCACUGUAUGCUGUUCAUAAUAUUUUGUUCACUGUGAGCUGCUGUGUGCUGUUCAUAGUAUGUUGUUCACUGUGAGCUGCUGACUGUGUGCUGUUCAUAGUAUGUUGUUCACUGUGAGCUGCUGACUGUGCUGUUCUGCUGACUGUGUGCUGUUCAUAGUAUGUUGUUCACUGUGAGCUGCUGACUGUGUGCUGUUCAUAGUAUGUUGUUCACUGUGAGCUGCUGACUGUGCUGUUCAUAGUAUGUUGUUCACUGUGAGCUGCUGACUGUGCUGUUCAUAAUAUGCUGUUCACUGUGAGCUGCUGACUGUGCUGUUCAUACAUCAAAUGUAUGCAGCAACGUACCCAAGUGCUUAUGAUUGUUAUUAUGUUAAAUAUGUGCAUAGGAAAAAAGGUAUCAUAGUAACAACAUAAAAGAUAUAUUAUCCCUGUUAAAAUAAUUGUUUAAGAUAUAUAUUCUUCUAGUCAUGGAAUGGAACUUCUUUGAAGUUAUAAUAUCAGAUUAUUUUUAACUGAAUCACCAGUCAAUUGAAGCAAAAUAUGUACACAGCUAAUAUCAAUUUCUGGCUUAGUUGACAGUGCAAAUGCAGUGAUAAUCUUUAUCUCUCUAUAUAAAACAAUUCCUCGCCUAACAGGAAGUACCACUGAACUUGUGAAUUAUCAUGUCUAGUGAUGUUUGAUUCAAAGUUUCCAAUUUUCAUUUACUAACUUUGUUUGUUCACCUCCAACAUUAUGUAGUUUUGACAGUGAUCUUUUUUGGCGGGCCAUCCACGGACCCUUAAGACCCACGUUAUAGAGAGGGAUGACUGUAUAUAGUGGCAUCCUCAAUUUAUAUAUAAAAGCAGAUAUUUCACUCCAAUGAUUGCCGAGGGGACUUAGGUUCUUAAGCUUUCUUAAAUAGGUAUGAUUUAUUUCUUUAGCAUCUUCAUUUCAUAUUUCUUUGUGCCAUAAGAAACCAAAAUUUCUUCGAUGGAACUUGUACAGGUUUGGAAUAUAUACUAUGGAUCUUAGAAACAUAUUAGAUACCCUUGUAGACAUAAUGGUGCAAUAAUGACUACUGUAUUUACAUUCAAAACUGGUUGUUUCAAUUACACUACUUUACUAAUACCGAGAAUGACCAGCCUGACUGGCUGAUUUACCAUGUCAUGUGACUCGACUCCCAUCGUGUGUUCAGAUAUUGAUUCAAAAGUAUCCUAUCACAGUAAUUUGAAUGAACUGACUUCUCAGGCCACUGUUUCAAGAGAAUAUGUUUUCUUGUGUAAAACAGUAAAAAUACCAUUUUGUUUCAAAUCAAGUCUUGGAAAGAACAAACUUGGUCACCAAUGUCAACCUUGCAAUAAAUGAUAACCAGAGAAGAUGAUUUCAAUUAUUCCUGUACAUUUAUAUAAACUUUCUUACAUGCAGCAAACAAAAAUAUUGAGUUUGUUUUAUUUCUAAAUACCAAUCACCUGAACUUUGUUUGCUCCUUGUGAUCAAGCAGCGAUUCAGUUAAAUACAUACCCCCAAAUAGCUCAAGAUUUUUAAUACAAUGUUUAGAGCACUGAUCAAAUUAUGGACACAUAAGUACACCAUGAGCAUUUAGUGCACAGCCCAUCAUGAGCAGCAUGCUAUGAACAGCACACUGCAGGGCUCGAUUUAAGAGAUGUUAUCCUACUUGAACCAGGUGCAACCUGAGAUAAAAACCUAGUAGAACCAGCCAAAUUCCAGUUGCAACGCCGUGUGUAUGUAUGCGACAGUAUGACUUGUCCUAGACUGUGCUUCCAAGGGUAUUUCCUUGCUGGUUUCAUAAACAGUUGACUGUAUUUGCUAAUAUAUUCAUAUGUGUAAGUGGUGUAUGUUUUAUUUCACCAGAAUUACACCUAAGCCAACAUGCAUAGAUGUAAAUAUGCUACCCCAGAUAUCAUUGAAACAUUCAAAUAUACAGUGGAAGCCCUCCAAUCCGGCAGCCCUCCAAUCCGGCAUGCUCUCAAUAUCGGCACUAGAAUUUGGUCCCGACAGAUGGUGUUUAAUUUAUUAUCAUUCUCUAAACCGGCACGACCUCUAUACCGGCAUUUUUUGUCGGUCCCAACGAGUGCCGGUUUAGAGGGCUUCCACUGUUUAUGUGUACAUAAUACCUAUGUUAAUCCACAUGUAUGUGUCUAACACAAGUAAGCUGAUGUGUGUUUACAAACAGGCUUGACAGUUAAUGUUUGAACUGAAUUUUGACCAAAGCAUGUAUUUGUAUUCUGUAUAGACAGCUAUAUUUCUUGAAUGGAGACUACACAUGAAAAGUUCAUGCCAGAUUGUCUAAACUCUGGUAACUAAUUUGGUAUGUAUUUGUUUAUACCAGAGUCAAGGCAUCAUCAAGUAGCGUAUGUAGUCAUGUAAUUGUCCGUUGUUACACUGCUUGCAAUAUACCCAUGUGCAGUGAAAGAUAAUGACAAUAGCCCUUGAUUUUAUGAUGAAAAUAGAUUUGUAUCUACGGUAAUUUAGAAUAAAAGCAUUUAUGCCAGAAAUGCUUUCAGUUCACCUUGGUGAUAUUGUUGUAGAAUCAGCGGCUAUGAUGAAAAUAGAUUUGUAUUUACGGUAACUUAGAUUAAAAGCAUUUGUGCCAGAAAUACUUUCAGUUAGCCUUGGUGAUAUUGUUGUAGAAUCAGCAACUAUGAUGAAAAUAGAUUUGUAUCUACGGUAACUUAGAUUAAACGCAUUUAUGCCAGAAAUACUUUCAGUUAGCCUUGGUGAUAUUGUUCUAGAAUCAGCGGCUAUGAUGAAAAUAGAUUUGUAUCUACGGUAACUUAGAUUAAAAGCAUUUAUGCCAGAAAUACUUUCAGUUAGCCUUGGUGAUAUUGUUGUAGGAUUAGUGGCUUGUUUCACCACACAUUAUUUUUUUCUAUGUUAUUGAGUUUGUUGAAAUGUUUGAAAUCUGACAUAAUUCAGCUUUUGAUCCAGUAUAAUCUUUUUCAUCAUUUUUGAUUGAUGAGACAACAAAGUUAUUCAACAAAAUUUGACAAGUUUCCUAGAUUUAUUAAUGUAAUAUUCGAAUAGGAAGAAGUGUGGUGUGCAUGAAUUCACAAUGGAAGUGUUUGUGUAGAUUUUAGCAAAUGACCAACCACAUUAGAUUCUUAGAGGUGACAUGGGAAGUUUGUAAGCCCUUUUUAUUAUUUGAUGGAUCACACAUGUUUCAACAUCAACAUCUGGAUGUAAUUCAUUAUAGGCUUUUGGAAACACUACACUAGUAUAAUUUUCAUCAUCCAGAUUAGUAUUGCUACUACUUAAUGAAAUACAAACAAAUUUCAUGUUUCUGCAUGGCAAGAUACCAAAAGAUAAUUUGUUCUUUUGGUGGUUGGAUAAAUAUAUGUUUGUACAUAGUCUUCAUCAUUUCUUAUGAAUAACAGUGAUAAAGUUGCAUGUCUUUUCCUUCACCUGAUUGGAAAAGUCCUGAAAUGUUUUUAUGAAAAUCAAUAUGUGGUUUUCUUACUUCAGUCAUGUAAACCAACUCUGAAAGUUAUACAGCCUUACAGACAGGACAUGUAUUUCGGCCUCUAACCUGUUAUCACUGAAUGGAAGAACAGGAAUUGAUUUUGUGAGAAACCAUGACACACUUUUUUCAGUAUAUCCAACAAGUCCGUUGAACAGGUUUUAUUUUCCUUUUGUACACUGAAAUUGUAAUUUUCAAACAUUUUUUUGAAGAAGUCCCAGUUCCUCAUCAUCAAAGUAUAGCAUAAGGUCAGUGCCUUUGUGAGUAUCUUUGUGUCUCCUACAUUCCAUAAAUACAUACCUAUCUAAACCAUCACCAUAUCAACACAUUAUCUGGGUUGGCAUAAAGGUGAGAACACAGUCUGUGGUUUUAUCCACAGGUUAUACUUCUCAUGCAGUAGACCUGUAACAGGGCAUAAAGGAGAGAACACAGUCUGUGGUUUUAUCCACAGGUUAUACUUCUCAUGCAGUAGACCUGUAACAGGGCAUAAAGGUGAGAACACAGUCUGUGGUUUUAUCCACAGGUUAUACUUCUCAUGCAGUAGACCUGUAACAGGGCAUAAAGGAGAGAACACAGUCUGUGGUUUUAUCCACAGGUUAUACUUCUCAUGCAGUAGACCUGUAACAGGGCAUAAAGGAGAGAACACAGUCUGUGGUUUUAUCCACAGGUUAUACUUCUCAUGCAGUAGACCUGUAACAGGGCAUAAAGGAGAGAACACAGUCUGUGGUUUUAUCCACAGGUUAUACUUCUCAUGCAGUAGACCUGUAACAGGGCAUAAAGGAGAGAACACAGUCUGUGGUUUUAUCCACAGGUUAUACUUCUCAUGCAGUAGACCUGUAACAGGGCAUAA
This 6383-nucleotide long non-coding RNA is filed under the name Haliotis rubra (blacklip abalone). RNAcentral describes it as "uncharacterized LOC124279835". The record is from RNAcentral. Lineage: Eukaryota; Metazoa; Mollusca; Gastropoda; Lepetellida; Haliotidae.